ACCUUCCAGAUUCCUUUCCCCUGAGAUCUAAAUAUUGUUCUAAGUGGCUAAAAUGGAGGAAAAGUAAAACUGAAGUGGGCUUGGGAGUCCUUAAUGACAUGCAAGCUCAUUUCAGACAUGA
Molecule: small nucleolar RNA, 121 nt
Organism: Echinops telfairi (small Madagascar hedgehog)
Lineage: Eukaryota; Metazoa; Chordata; Mammalia; Afrosoricida; Tenrecidae
Product: small nucleolar RNA SNORA61
Exons: 1
Source: RefSeq, a predicted model, not a curated record